Molecule: ribosomal RNA, 469 nt
Filed under: uncultured bacterium
Lineage: Bacteria
Description: partial 16S ribosomal RNA
Rfam family: Bacterial small subunit ribosomal RNA
Source: RNAcentral
GACGAACGCUGGCGGCGUGCUUAGCACAUGCAAGUCGAACGGUGAAGCGAGUGCUUGCACUCGUGGAUCAGUGGCGAACGGGUGAGUAACACGUGAGUAACCUGCCCAUCACUCUGGGAUAAGCACUGGAAACGGUGUCUAAUACUGGAUACGACCAACCCUUGCAUGGGGUGUUGGUGGAAAGAUUUAUCGGUGAUGGAUGGACUCGCGGCCUAUCAGCUUGUUGGCGGGGUAAUGGCCCACCAAGGCGACGACGGGUAGCCGGCCUGAGAGGGUGACCGGCCACACUGGGACUGAGACACGGCCCAGACUCCUACGGGAGGCAGCAGUGGGGAAUAUUGCACAAUGGGCGAAAGCCUGAUGCAGCGACGCCGCGUGAGGGAUGACGGCCUUCGGGUUGUAAACCUCUUUCAGCAGGGAAGAAGCGAAAGUGACGGUACCUGCAGAAGAAGCACCGGCUAACUACGUG